Mustela lutreola (European mink) is the source of this 665-nucleotide long non-coding RNA. RefSeq lists it as uncharacterized. Lineage: Eukaryota; Metazoa; Chordata; Mammalia; Carnivora; Mustelidae. The record is from RefSeq and is a predicted model, not a curated record. The transcript has 3 exons.
GGAAUCGGGGGGCCUUGGUAUUUUUUUGUUAAGCCAUUUAAGAAUUCAUGAUCUUGGUCCAGGGCUGGUAAUAUUGCGCCGCUUUCUUCUCCCUUCAGGGAAGAAGAGACACUAUUAUACCUGCACGCUCUCAGCAUACUACUGCUGCACUGUUGACUCCUUAACAUCUUCCGUGGAUUAGCAAUUUUCUCCAAAUCAGCCUCAAGUCUCCCUCAGAGGAGAGGAGCAUGGAAAGAUUUCUCAGGCUGGAUCUUCAAUGGGAGUUUGUGUGUAUGGUAAAACAUACAUACCGGAAACUUGCCAUCUCUAACUAUUGGCUCAGUGGCAUUAACUCCUGGCACCCACCAUUCUGCUGGAGGUCUGUCUGAGUUGGACCCUUCUAGAUCUCUGAUAUCACUUGUUCCAGAGGAAGCCAGCCGCCAUGAUGUGAAGACAUACAAAGGGCCCUAAGAAGAGGACCAUGUAGGGACAAUGACUUUCCAGGCAUAUGAGGGAGCCAUGUUGGAAGAUGACCCCAGCCUCCAUCAAGUCUUCAGAUGAAACUGCAGCCCCAGAUGACACCCCGAGCCUCAUAAGAGACCCUGAGCCAGAACCAUCCAGCUGAGCUGCCCCCAGAUUCCUCACCCUAGAAACUAGGUGAGAUAAUAAAUAAUUGUUCUAGACCA